Molecule: ribosomal RNA, 1539 nt
Filed under: Klebsiella pneumoniae
Lineage: Bacteria; Pseudomonadati; Pseudomonadota; Gammaproteobacteria; Enterobacterales; Enterobacteriaceae
Description: bacterial SSU rRNA
Rfam family: Bacterial small subunit ribosomal RNA
Source: RNAcentral
AAAUUGAAGAGUUUGAUCAUGGCUCAGAUUGAACGCUGGCGGCAGGCCUAACACAUGCAAGUCGAGCGGUAGCACAGAGAGCUUGCUCUCGGGUGACGAGCGGCGGACGGGUGAGUAAUGUCUGGGAAACUGCCUGAUGGAGGGGGAUAACUACUGGAAACGGUAGCUAAUACCGCAUAACGUCGCAAGACCAAAGUGGGGGACCUUCGGGCCUCAUGCCAUCAGAUGUGCCCAGAUGGGAUUAGCUAGUAGGUGGGGUAAUGGCUCACCUAGGCGACGAUCCCUAGCUGGUCUGAGAGGAUGACCAGCCACACUGGAACUGAGACACGGUCCAGACUCCUACGGGAGGCAGCAGUGGGGAAUAUUGCACAAUGGGCGCAAGCCUGAUGCAGCCAUGCCGCGUGUGUGAAGAAGGCCUUCGGGUUGUAAAGCACUUUCAGCGGGGAGGAAGGCGUUAAGGUUAAUAACCUGGGCGAUUGACGUUACCCGCAGAAGAAGCACCGGCUAACUCCGUGCCAGCAGCCGCGGUAAUACGGAGGGUGCAAGCGUUAAUCGGAAUUACUGGGCGUAAAGCGCACGCAGGCGGUCUGUCAAGUCGGAUGUGAAAUCCCCGGGCUCAACCCGGGAACUGCAUUCGAAACUGGCAGGCUAGAGUCUUGUAGAGGGGGGUAGAAUUCCGGUGUAGCGGUGAAAUGCGUAGAGAUCUGGAGGAAUACCGGUGGCGAAGGCGGCCCCCUGGACAAAGACUGACGCUCAGGUGCGAAAGCGUGGGGAGCAAACAGGAUUAGAUACCCUGGUAGUCCACGCCGUAAACGAUGUCGAUUUGGAGGUUGUGCCCUUGAGGCGUGGCUUCCGGAGCUAACGCGUUAAAUCGACCGCCUGGGGAGUACGGCCGCAAGGUUAAAACUCAAAUGAAUUGACGGGGGCCCGCACAAGCGGUGGAGCAUGUGGUUUAAUUCGAUGCAACGCGAAGAACCUUACCUGGUCUUGACAUCCACAGAACUUUCCAGAGAUGGAUUGGUGCCUUCGGGAACUGUGAGACAGGUGCUGCAUGGCUGUCGUCAGCUCGUGUUGUGAAAUGUUGGGUUAAGUCCCGCAACGAGCGCAACCCUUAUCCUUUGUUGCCAGCGGUUAGGCCGGGAACUCAAAGGAGACUGCCAGUGAUAAACUGGAGGAAGGUGGGGAUGACGUCAAGUCAUCAUGGCCCUUACGACCAGGGCUACACACGUGCUACAAUGGCAUAUACAAAGAGAAGCGACCUCGCGAGAGCAAGCGGACCUCAUAAAGUAUGUCGUAGUCCGGAUUGGAGUCUGCAACUCGACUCCAUGAAGUCGGAAUCGCUAGUAAUCGUAGAUCAGAAUGCUACGGUGAAUACGUUCCCGGGCCUUGUACACACCGCCCGUCACACCAUGGGAGUGGGUUGCAAAAGAAGUAGGUAGCUUAACCUUCGGGAGGGCGCUUACCACUUUGUGAUUCAUGACUGGGGUGAAGUCGUAACAAGGUAACCGUAGGGGAACCUGCGGUUGGAUCACCUCCUUA